RNAcentral lists this ribosomal RNA (468 nucleotides) under uncultured bacterium. Its description in RNAcentral is "partial 16S ribosomal RNA". It matches the Rfam family "Bacterial small subunit ribosomal RNA", at positions 28 to 507 of the family's 1533-position model. The record is from RNAcentral.
GACGAACGCUGGCGGCGUGCUUAACACAUGCAAGUCGAACGGAAAGGCCCUGCUUUUGUGGGGUGCUCGAGUGGCGAACGCGUGAGUAACGCGUGAGUAACCUGCCCUUGACUUUGGGAUAACUUCAGGAAACUGGGGCUAAUACCGGAUAGGAGCUCCUGCUGCAUGGUGGGGGUUGGAAAGUUUCGGCGGUUGGGGAUGGACUCGCGGCUUAUCAGCUUGUUGGUGGGGUAGUGGCUUACCAAGGCUUUGACGGGUAGCCGGCCUGAGAGGGUGACCGGCCACAUUGGGACUGAGAUACGGCCCAGACUCCUACGGGAGGCAGCAGUGGGGAAUAUUGCACAAUGGGCGGAAGCCUGAUGCAGCAACGCCGCGUGCGGGAUGACGGCCUUCGGGUUGUAAACCGCUUUCGCCUGUGACGAAGCGUGAGUGACGGUAAUGGGUAAAGAAGCACCGGCUAACUACGUG